GACAGAGGGGGCAAGCGUUGCUCGGAAUCACUGGGCGUAAAGGGCGCGUAGGCGGGAUGGCAAGUCGGUCGUGAAAUCCUUCGGCUCAACCGAAGAACGUCGGCCGAUACUGCCGUUCUUGAGGGAUGCAGAGGAGAUUGGAAUUCCCGGUGUAGCGGUGAAAUGUGUAGAGAUCGGGAGGAACACCGGUGGCGAAGGCGGGUCUCUGGGCAUCUCCUGACGCUGAGGCGCGAAAGCGUGGG
RNAcentral lists this ribosomal RNA (242 nucleotides) under uncultured bacterium. RNAcentral describes it as "partial 16S ribosomal RNA". It matches the Rfam family "Bacterial small subunit ribosomal RNA", at positions 524 to 765 of the family's 1533-position model. The record is from RNAcentral.